RNAcentral lists this ribosomal RNA (466 nucleotides) under uncultured bacterium. Its description in RNAcentral is "partial 16S ribosomal RNA". It matches the Rfam family "Bacterial small subunit ribosomal RNA", at positions 28 to 507 of the family's 1533-position model. The record is from RNAcentral.
GACGAACGCUGGCGGCGUGCUUAACACAUGCAAGUCGAACGGAAAGGCCCUGCUUGCUUGGUGCUCGAGUGGCGAACGGGUGAGUAACACGUGGGUGAUCUGCCCCCUACUUUUGGAUAAGCCUUGGAAACGGGGUCUAAUACUUGAUAGGACCAUCCUGUAGGUGGUGUGGUGGAAAGAUUAGUUUCGGUAGGGGGUGGGCUCGCGGCCUAUCGGCUUGUGGGUGGAGUAAUGGCAUACUCCGGCGUCGGCGGAUAUCCGUCCCUGGAGGGUGGACGUCGACAUUGGGCCUGCGCGACGGCCCAGAGUCCUACGUGGGGCAGCAGUGGGGAAUAUUGCCCAGUGGGAGCACGCCUGAUGCGGCGGCGCCGCGUUGGGGAUGACGGCCUUCGGGUUGUAAACUCCUUUCGGCCAUGACGAAGCCCUUGUGGUGGUGGUAGUAGUAGAAGCAGCACCUAAUUACGAC